This 390-nucleotide long non-coding RNA is filed under the name Bos taurus (domestic cattle). Its description in RNAcentral is "long non-coding RNA NONBTAT024887". Lineage: Eukaryota; Metazoa; Chordata; Mammalia; Artiodactyla; Bovidae. The record is from RNAcentral.
AUAACUUGCUUGAACCUGAUCAAGUUCAGUCAUCUUAAGGCAAUGAGAAAAGGCAGAAGUUGAACUGGGAAGACUGGGAGUGUAGACCUUGGUAUUAAAAGCACAUUUGGAACCUUGCUAGCCAACAUAAAAUGUUCUCGUGGGCAAGGAACCAUUUGUGCAAAGGCCUUAGGAAAUUCAAAUCUGCUGUUCCAGGUGAAUCCCUAAGGAUGAUGCCCGUCUUCAAAGAAUGACUGACUGACGGGACUUUACUUAAUGGAAGCACAGCAAGGUUAGGUCAAGGAAUAGAAAUCUGACUUUGAGACUUCCAGGAGCUGACAAAGACAUUUCUAUGACUCCUGCGACAAGACAACAAUGAACAAAGAGAUGGAAGUACAGGGAGCAUGUAUG